This 67-nucleotide transfer RNA is filed under the name Batrachuperus yenyuanensis (Yenyuan stream salamander). RNAcentral's name for it is "tRNA-Glu". It matches the Rfam family "tRNA". Rfam says of the family: Transfer RNA (tRNA) molecules are approximately 80 nucleotides in length. Their secondary structure includes four short double-helical elements and three loops (D, anti-codon, and T loops). Further hydrogen bonds mediate the characteristic L-shaped molecular structure. tRNAs have two regions of fundamental functional importance: the anti-codon, which is responsible for specific mRNA codon recognition, and the 3' end, to which the tRNAs corresponding amino acid is attached (by aminoacyl-tRNA synthetases). tRNAs cope with the degeneracy of the genetic code in two manners: having more than one tRNA (with a specific anti-codon) for a particular amino acid; and 'wobble' base-pairing, i.e. permitting non-standard base-pairing at the 3rd anti-codon position. Lineage: Eukaryota; Metazoa; Chordata; Amphibia; Caudata; Hynobiidae. The record is from RNAcentral.
UUUUUUAUAGUUGAAUACAACAUUGGCUUUUCAGGUCAAGGGUCUCGGUUAAAACCCGGGUAAAAAU